CCUACGGGGCGCAGCAGUGAGGAAUAUUGGUCAAUGGACGAGAGUCUGAACCAGCCAAGUAGCGUGAAGGAUGACUGCCCUAUGGGUUGUAAACUUCUUUUAUAUGGGAAUAAAAUGUUCCACGUGUGGGAUUUUGUAUGUACCAUAUGAAUAAGGAUCGGCUAACUCCGUGCCAGCAGCCGCGGUAAUAUGGAGGAUCCGAGCGUUAUCCGGAUUUAUUGGGUUUAAAGGGAGCGUAGGUGGAUUGGUAAGUCAGUUGUGAAAGUUUGCGGAUCAACCGUAAAAUUGCAGUUGAAACUGGGAGUCUUGAGUACAGUAGAGGUGGGCGGAAUUCGUGGUGUAGCGGUGAAAUGCUUAGAUAUCACGAAGAACUCCGAUUGCGAAGGCAGCUCACUGGACUGCAACUGACACUGAGGCUCGAAAGUGUGGGUAUCAAACAGGAUUAGAUACCCGUGUAGUC
RNAcentral lists this ribosomal RNA (460 nucleotides) under uncultured bacterium. Its description in RNAcentral is "partial 16S ribosomal RNA". It matches the Rfam family "Bacterial small subunit ribosomal RNA", at positions 338 to 795 of the family's 1533-position model. The record is from RNAcentral.